RNAcentral lists this transfer RNA (73 nucleotides) under Spirochaetota bacterium. RNAcentral's name for it is "Spirochaetes bacterium tRNA-Lys". It matches the Rfam family "tRNA". Rfam says of the family: Transfer RNA (tRNA) molecules are approximately 80 nucleotides in length. Their secondary structure includes four short double-helical elements and three loops (D, anti-codon, and T loops). Further hydrogen bonds mediate the characteristic L-shaped molecular structure. tRNAs have two regions of fundamental functional importance: the anti-codon, which is responsible for specific mRNA codon recognition, and the 3' end, to which the tRNAs corresponding amino acid is attached (by aminoacyl-tRNA synthetases). tRNAs cope with the degeneracy of the genetic code in two manners: having more than one tRNA (with a specific anti-codon) for a particular amino acid; and 'wobble' base-pairing, i.e. permitting non-standard base-pairing at the 3rd anti-codon position. Lineage: Bacteria; Pseudomonadati; Spirochaetota. The record is from RNAcentral.
GCGUCCAUAGCUCAAUUGGUAGAGCAAGCGCCUCUUAAGCGCGAGGUUGUGGGUUCAAUUCCCUCUGGACGCA